CCUACGGGUGGCAGCAGUGGGGGAUAUUGCACAAUGGGGGGAACCCUGAUGCAGCGACGCCGCGUGGGUGAAGAAGUACUUCGGUAUGUAAAGCCCUAUCAGCAGGGAAGAAAAUGACAGUACCUGACCAAGAAGCCCCGGCUAACUACGUGCCAGCAGCCGCUGUAAUACGUAGGGGGCAAGCGUUAUCCGGAUUUACUGGGUGUAAAGGGAGCGUAGGCGGUAUUGGAAGUCUGUAGUGAAAGCCCAGGGCCCAACCCCGGGACUGCAUUUGAAACUGUGUUACUGGAGUACCGGAGAGGCAAGCGGAAUUCCUGGUGUAGCGGUGAAAUGCGUAGAUAUCAGGAGGAACACCGGCGGCGAAGGCGGCCUACUGGACGGAAACUGACGUUGAGGCUCGAAAGCGUGGGGAGCAAACAGGAUUAGAUACCCGUGUAGUC
This 440-nucleotide ribosomal RNA is filed under the name uncultured bacterium. Its description in RNAcentral is "partial 16S ribosomal RNA". It matches the Rfam family "Bacterial small subunit ribosomal RNA", at positions 338 to 795 of the family's 1533-position model. The record is from RNAcentral.